AGAGUUUGAUCAUGGCUCAGGACGAACGCUGGCGGCGUGCCUAAUACAUGCAAGUCGAACGCUUCUUUUUCCACCGGAGCUUGCUCCACCGGAAAAAGAAGAGUGGCGAACGGGUGAGUAACACGUGGGUAACCUGCCCAUCAGAAGGGGAUAACACUUGGAAACAGGUGCCAAUACCGUAUAACAAUCGAAACCGCAUGGUUUUGAUUUGAAAGGCGCUUUCGGGUGUCGCUGAUGGAUGGACCCGCGGUGCAUUAGCUAGUUGGUGAGGUAACGGCUCACCAAGGCCACGAUGCAUAGCCGACCUGAGAGGGUGAUCGGCCACAUUGGGACUGAGACACGGCCCAAACUCCUACGGGAGGCAGCAGUAGGGAAUCUUCGGCAAUGGACGAAAGUCUGACCGAGCAACGCCGCGUGAGUGAAGAAGGUUUUCGGAUCGUAAAACUCUGUUGUUAGAGAAGAACAAGGAUGAGAGUAACUGUUCAUCCCUUGACGGUAUCUAACCAGAAAGCCACGGCUAACUACGUGCCAGCAGCCGCGGUAAUACGUAGGUGGCAAGCGUUGUCCGGAUUUAUUGGGCGUAAAGCGAGCGCAGGCGGUUUCUUAAGUCUGAUGUGAAAGCCCCCGGCUCAACCGGGGAGGGUCAUUGGAAACUGGGAGACUUGAGUGCAGAAGAGGAGAGUGGAAUUCCAUGUGUAGCGGUGAAAUGCGUAGAUAUAUGGAGGAACACCAGUGGCGAAGGCGGCUCUCUGGUCUGUAACUGACGCUGAGGCUCGAAAGCGUGGGGAGCAAACAGGAUUAGAUACCCUGGUAGUCCACGCCGUAAACGAUGAGUGCUAAGUGUUGGAGGGUUUCCGCCCUUCAGUGCUGCAGCUAACGCAUUAAGCACUCCGCCUGGGGAGUACGACCGCAAGUUGAAACUCAAAGGAAUUGACGGGGGCCCGCACAAGCGGUGGAGCAUGUGGUUUAAUUCGAAGCAACGCGAAGAACCUUACCAGGUCUUGACAUCCUUUGACCACUCUAGAGAUAGAGCUUCCCCUUCGGGGGCAAAGUGACAGGUGGUGCAUGGUUGUCGUCAGCUCGUGUCGUGAGAUGUUGGGUUAAGUCCCGCAACGAGCGCAACCCUUAUUGUUAGUUGCCAUCAUUCAGUUGGGCACUCUAGCAAGACUGCCGGUGACAAACCGGAGGAAGGUGGGGAUGACGUCAAAUCAUCAUGCCCCUUAUGACCUGGGCUACACACGUGCUACAAUGGGAAGUACAACGAGUCGCGAAGUCGCGAGGCUAAGCUAAUCUCUUAAAGCUUCUCUCAGUUCGGAUUGCAGGCUGCAACUCGCCUGCAUGAAGCCGGAAUCGCUAGUAAUCGCGGAUCAGCACGCCGCGGUGAAUACGUUCCCGGGCCUUGUACACACCGCCCGUCACACCACGAGAGUUUGUAACACCCGAAGUCGGUGAGGUAACCUUUUGGAGCCAGCCGCCUAAGGUGGGAUAGAUGAUUGGGGUGAAGUCGUAACAAGGUAACCGU
This 1522-nucleotide ribosomal RNA is filed under the name Enterococcus faecium. RNAcentral's name for it is "bacterial SSU rRNA". It matches the Rfam family "Bacterial small subunit ribosomal RNA". Lineage: Bacteria; Bacillati; Bacillota; Bacilli; Lactobacillales; Enterococcaceae. The record is from RNAcentral.